Molecule: long non-coding RNA, 268 nt
Filed under: Mytilus galloprovincialis (Mediterranean mussel)
Lineage: Eukaryota; Metazoa; Mollusca; Bivalvia; Mytilida; Mytilidae
Source: RNAcentral
GUGCAGCUGGCCAAUAAUCAUAACGUAUUAUAAUGAAACAUACAUCAAAUGUAAUUAUAUGAUUAUGAUAUUGUUGAUCGCUUAUCUGUCUGUCCGUCUGUCUGUCAUGUCGAAGUUGGGAACAAUAAUAUUUCAUAAAACUGUGGUGAAUUAUUUUUAUCUAUUGACGUAAAAUACCUUUCGAUUUUUAUAAAUUUUAAAUUGUAUGUUUCCUGGUUGUAAGGAUUUUAUUCAUAAAAAUGAGGGAAUUUUCAUGUUUUCUGGCUUG